This 55-nucleotide transfer RNA is filed under the name Odontesthes argentinensis. RNAcentral describes it as "partial tRNA-Lys". The record is from RNAcentral. Lineage: Eukaryota; Metazoa; Chordata; Actinopteri; Atheriniformes; Atherinopsidae.
GCCUAGCGUUAGCCUUUUAAGCUAAAGAUUGGUGACUCCCAACCACCCCUAGCGA